UUAAGGAAGAAAGAGCAUAAGGUGAAUGCCUUGGUGAUUAGAGCCGAAGAAGGACGUGGCAAGCUGCGAAAAGCUAUGAUAAGGAGCAAACAUCCGUUAUAGUCAUAGAUAUCCGAAUGAGGAAACUCACUUAAUAGAGAUAUUAAGUAUCCAUUACUGAAUAAAUAGGUAAUAGGAAGGGAACCCGCCGAACUGAAACAUCUAAGUAGGUGGAGGAAAAGAAAGAAACAUCGAUUCCCAAAGUAGCGGCGAGCGAAAUGGGAGGAGCCCAAACCAUAUAAGGAAACUUAAAUGGGGUAAGGACUAUCAAGAAAGUGACGAGGUAUUGAAGAAGAAGUAGUCUGGGAAGCUACACCAAAGACGGUAAAAGUCCGGUAAUCGAAACAAGAAGACGCACGAGAUAGUACCAGAGUAUCGUAGGACACGAGGAACCCUGCGAGAAGAAAGGGGGACCACCCCCAAAGGCUAAAUACUACUAAUCAACCGAUAGAGAAAAGUACCGUGAGGGAAAGGUGAAAAGAACCCCGGGAGGGGAGUGAAAGAGAACCUGAAACCAUAUGCUUACAAACAGAUGGAGCGAUAAGUGACAUCGUACUUUUUGUAGAACGGGCCAACGAGUUAUGCUGUAAAGCAAGGAAAAGAAAUUAAGUUUCAAAUCCAAAGCGAAAGCGAGUCUGAAAAGGGCGAUAAGUUAUACAGCAUAGACCCGAAACCGGGCGACCUACCCAUGAGCAGGUUGAAGUUUCAGUAACAUGAAAUGGAGGACCGAACCCACGAACGUUGAAAAGUUCGGGGAUGACUUGUGGGUAGAGGUGAAAUUCCAAUCGAGCUCGGAGAUAGCUGGUUCUCUUCGAAAUAGCUUUAGGGCUAGCGUCUUAAAAAAAAGUAUAUUGGGGGUAGAGCACUGAAUGCUCUAGGGGCCGUAUAGGUUACCGAAAGCUAUCAAACUGCGAAUACCAAUAUAUGAUAAAAGGCAGUCAGACUAUGAGUGAUAAGAUCCAUAGUCAAGAGGGAAAAAGCCCAGACCAACAGCUAAGGUCCCCAAAUGUAUGUUAAGUGGAAAAGGAUGUGAAAUUGCACAGACAACCAGGAUGUUGGCUUAGAAGCAGCCAUACAUUAAAAGAGUGCGUAAUAGCUCACUGGUCGAGUGGUUUUGCGCCGAAAAUUACCGGGGCUCAAACAUACUACCGAAGCUUUGGAUUCACGCAAGACGUGAGUGGUAGAAGAGCAUCGUAUGAUAGGACGAAGCAGAAUCGAAAGAGACUGUGGACAAGAUACGAGAGAGAAUGUUGGCAUGAGUAGCGAGAUGUGUGUGAGAAUCACACAGGCCGAAAACCCAAGGAUUCCUGAGGAAGGUUCGUCCGCUCAGGGUAAGUCGGGGCCUAAGGCGAGGCAGAGAUGCGUAGCUGAUGGAUAACAGGUUAAGAUUCCUGUACCUACGAGUAUCGCCAAAGAGGAGAAGGAAUGACGCAGGAGGAUAGUUAAAGCGUGCGACUGGAAGAGCACGUCCAAGCAGCAAGUUAGAGUAUAAAGGCAAAUCCGUAUGCUUGAUAAUAUGAGCUGUGAAGGGGAGCGAAUAAAGUAGCGAAGUUAAUGAUUUCACACUGACAGGAAAAGUUUCUAUCCAGAUACAAGUAGCCCGUACCGAAAACCGACACAGGUGGGUAAGGUGAGAAACCUAAGGCCAGCGAGAGAACUGUUGUUAAGGAACUCGGCAAAAUGACCCCGUAACUUAGGGAGAAGGGGUGCCUACGAGAGUAGGCCACAGAAAAAAGGCCCAAGCGACUGUUUACCAAAAACAUAGGUCUCUGCGAAACCGAAAGGUGAAGUAUAGGGGCUGACGCCUGCCCGGUGCUGGAAGGUUAAGAGGAGAGUUUAGAGAAAUCGAAGAUUUGAAUUUAAGCCCCAGUAAACGGCGGCCGUAACUAUAACGGUCCUAAGGUAGCGAAAUUCCUUGUCGGGUAAGUUCCGACCCGCACGAAAGGCGUAACGAUUUGGGCACUGUCUCAACAACAGACUCGGUGAAAUUGUAGUACCGGUGAAGAUGCCGGAAACCUGCGACAGGACGGAAAGACCCCAUGGAGCUUUACUGUAGCUUAGUAUUGAAUUUAUGUAAUUAAUGUACAGAAUAGGUGGGAGGCAGAGAAUGUAGGUCGUCAGAUUUACAGGAGCCAACUUUGGGAUACCACCCUUUGAUUAUGUGAGUUCUAACCGGAACCUUUGAAGCAAGGUACGGGACAGUGCUUGGCGGACAGUUUGACUGGGGCGGUCGCCUCCCAAAGAGUAACGGAGGCGUCCAAAGGUUCCCUCAGCAUGGUCGGAAAUCAUGCGAAGAGUGCAAAGGCAAAAGGGAGCUUGAUUGCGAGACUAACAAGUCGAGCAAAGACGAAAGUCGGGCUUAGUGAUCCGGUGGUAGAAAGUGGAAUUGCCAUCGCUCAACGGAUAAAAGCUACCCUGGGGAUAACAGGCUGAUCUCCCCCAAGAGUUCACAUCGACGGGGAGGUUUGGCACCUCGAUGUCGGCUCAUCACAUCCUGGGGCUGGAGUAGGUCCCAAGGGUUGGGCUGUUCGCCCAUUAAAGUGGUACGCGAGCUGGGUUCAGAACGUCGUGAGACAGUUCGGUCCCUAUCCGUCGCAGGCGUAGGAUAUUUGAGAGGAGCUAUCCUUAGUACGAGAGGACCGGGAUGGACGCACCACUGGUGUACCAGUUGUCUUGCCAAAGGCACAGCUGGGUAGCUAUGUGCGGAACGGAUAAGUGCUGAAGGCAUCUAAGCACGAAGCCAACCUCAAGAUAAGAUAUCCCAUUCGAAAGAAGUAAGACCCCAUUAAGAGUAAGUGGUAGAUAGGCAAGAAGUGUAAGUGCAGUAAUGUAUUAAGCUAACUUGUACUAAUAGGUCGAGGACUUAACCUA
This 2910-nucleotide ribosomal RNA is filed under the name Peptoanaerobacter stomatis. RNAcentral describes it as "bacterial LSU rRNA". It matches the Rfam family "Bacterial large subunit ribosomal RNA". Lineage: Bacteria; Bacillati; Bacillota; Clostridia; Peptostreptococcales; Filifactoraceae. The record is from RNAcentral.